CUCGUGUCGUGAGAUGUUGGGUUAAGUCCCGCAACGAGCGCAACCCUUAAGCUUAGUUGCCAUCAUUAAGUUGGGCACUCUAGGUUGACUGCCGGUGGCAAACCGGAGGAAGGUGGGGAUGACGUCAAAUCAUCAUGCCCCUUAUGAUUUGGGCUACACACGUGCUACAAUGGACAAUACAAAGGGCAGCUAAACCGCGAGGUCAUGCAAAUCCCAUAAAGUUGUUCUCAGUUCGGAUUGUAGUCUGCAACUCGACUACAUGAAGCUGGAAUCGCUAGUAAUCGUAGAUCAGCAUGCUACGGUGAAUACGUUCCCGGGUCUUGUACACACCGCCCGUCACACCACGAGAGUUUGUAACACCCGAAGCCGGUGGAGUAACCAUUUAUGGAGCUAGCCGUCGAAGGUGGGACAAAUGAUUGGGGUGAAGUCGUAACAAGGUAGCCGUAUCGGAAGGUGCGGUUGGAUCACCUC
RNAcentral lists this ribosomal RNA (471 nucleotides) under uncultured bacterium. Its description in RNAcentral is "bacterial SSU rRNA". It matches the Rfam family "Bacterial small subunit ribosomal RNA", at positions 1059 to 1529 of the family's 1533-position model. The record is from RNAcentral.